GUUAUAAUUGAUUACAAUAAAAGAUAUGUAAAAUACUUAAACUUAAAGAUAUAACAAAUAUAAAUGAUAAAAAAGGUUUCGCGGGACAAACCACGGAUCUCACAAUGAUAUCUGUCAUUCCAAAUUGGAAACCUUGCGCUUGGCUACAUAAUCUGUUUGGGCAGGAAUGGUAAUAUCUGCUAGAGCUAAGAUCUGACAUGAAUAUAACUCUUCAAUGUCUAAACCAAACAGUGGCACUUCUUCUCUUAAUGUCUCAACUUCACCCUUUUUUUAAAUUCAAAGAGAAGUUGUACUUCCAUAAAAAGUCCCGUCCAAGAAUACAAGGGUCACUGAUGUCAGCAAUGUGAACAAUGUGAUUAUGUGGGUUAAAUCCAAAAGAAAUAGAAACUUCCAGCUCCAGCUUAAAAUUAUUUUAUCAUCAGUCACAGUCUAUAAUGAAAUGAUGCUCGCCAAGCUGGGGAGAUGGACAUUUAUGCACCCAACAACAACUGUUCAUACUAUUGUCACAUUUGUUCCUGUAUCAAGAAUUAGAUGGCAAGGAAGAUCAUUAAUUUUUCCAUCCACAAACAGGCCAUAAUCUCCUCC
Molecule: long non-coding RNA, 585 nt
Filed under: Androctonus crassicauda
Lineage: Eukaryota; Metazoa; Arthropoda; Arachnida; Scorpiones; Buthidae
Source: RNAcentral